UACGGGGGGGGCAAGCGUUGUUCGGAAUUACUGGGCGUAAAGGGCUCGUAGGCGGCCCACUAAGUCAUACGUGAAAUCCCUCGGCUUAACCGGGGAACUGCGUCUGAUACUGGAUGGCUUGAGAUUGGGAGAGGGAUGCGGAAUUCCAGGUGUAGCGGUGAAAUGCGUAGAUAUCUGGAGGAACACCGGUGGCGAAGGCGGCAUCCUGGACCAACACUGACGCUGAGGAGCGAAAGCCAGGGGAGCAAACGGG
RNAcentral lists this ribosomal RNA (253 nucleotides) under uncultured bacterium. Its description in RNAcentral is "partial 16S ribosomal RNA". It matches the Rfam family "Bacterial small subunit ribosomal RNA", at positions 524 to 776 of the family's 1533-position model. The record is from RNAcentral.